RNAcentral lists this unclassified non-coding RNA (402 nucleotides) under plant metagenome. RNAcentral's name for it is "partial contains 5.8S ribosomal RNA, internal transcribed spacer 2, and large subunit ribosomal RNA". It matches the Rfam family "Bacterial small subunit ribosomal RNA", at positions 358 to 777 of the family's 1533-position model. The record is from RNAcentral.
GGAAUAUUGGACAAUGGGCGCAAGCCUGAUCCAGCCAUGCCGCGUGAGUGAUGAAGGCCUUAGGGUUGUAAAGCUCUUUCGGCGGGGAAGAUAAUGACGGUACCCGCAGAAGAAGCCCCGGCAAACUUCGUGCCAGCAGCCGCGGUAAUACGAAGGGGGCUAGCGUUGCUCGGAAUUACUGGGCGUAAAGCGCACGUAGGCGGAUUCUUAAGUCGGGGGUGAAAUCCCGGAGCUCAACUCCGGAACUGCCUUCGAUACUGAGAAUCUCGAGUCCGGGAGAGGUGAGUGGAACUCCGAGUGUAGAGGUGAAAUUCGUAGAUAUUCGGAAGAACACCAGUGGCGAAGGCGGCUCACUGGCCCGGUACUGACGCUGAGGUGCGAAAGCGUGGGGAGCAAACAGGA